GAUGAACGCUGGCGGCGUGCUUAACACAUGCAAGUCGAACGAAGCACUUUAUUUGAUUUCCUUCGGGACUGAUUAUUUUGUGACUGAGUGGCGGACGGGUGAGUAACGCGUGGGUAACCUGCCUUGUACAGGGGGAUAACAGUUGGAAACGGCUGCUAAUACCGCAUAAGCGCACAGCAUCGCAUGAUGCAGUGUGAAAAACUCCGGUGGUAUAAGAUGGACCCGCGUUGGAUUAGCUAGUUGGUGAGGUAACGGCCCACCAAGGCGACGAUCCAUAGCCGACCUGAGAGGGUGACCGGCCACAUUGGGACUGAGACACGGCCCAAACUCCUACGGGAAGCAGCAGUGGGGAAUAUUGCACAAUGGGCGAAAGCCUGAUGCAGCGACGCCGCGUGAGCGAAGAAGUAUUUCGGUAUGUAAAGCUCUAUCAGCAGGGAAGAUAAUGACGGUACCUGAAUAAGGAGCACCGGCUAAAUACGUG
Molecule: ribosomal RNA, 481 nt
Filed under: uncultured bacterium
Lineage: Bacteria
Description: partial 16S ribosomal RNA
Rfam family: Bacterial small subunit ribosomal RNA
Source: RNAcentral